UACGGAGGGGGCUAGCGUUGUUCGGAAUUACUGGGCGUAAAGCGCACGUAGGCGGCUUUGUAAGUUAGAGGUGAAAGCCCAGGGCUCAACCCUGGAAUUGCCUUUAAGACUGCAUCGCUUGAACAUCGGAGAGGUAAGUGGAAUUCCGAGUGUAGAGGUGAAAUUCGUAGAUAUUCGGAAGAACACCAGUGGCGAAGGCGACUUACUGGACGAUUGUUGACGCUGAGGCACGAAGGUCAGGGGAGCAAACGGG
Molecule: ribosomal RNA, 253 nt
Filed under: uncultured bacterium
Lineage: Bacteria
Description: partial 16S ribosomal RNA
Rfam family: Bacterial small subunit ribosomal RNA
Source: RNAcentral